This 550-nucleotide ribosomal RNA is filed under the name uncultured bacterium. Its description in RNAcentral is "bacterial SSU rRNA". It matches the Rfam family "Bacterial small subunit ribosomal RNA", at positions 355 to 896 of the family's 1533-position model. The record is from RNAcentral.
UAGGGAAUCUUCCGCAAUGGACGAAAGUCUGACGGAGCAACGCCGCGUGAACGAAGAAGGCCUUCGGGUCGUAAAGUUCUGUUGUUAGGGAAGAACAAGUACCAGAGUAACUGCUGGUACCUUGACGGUACCUAACCAGAAAGCCACGGCUAACUACGUGCCAGCAGCCGCGGUAAUACGUAGGUGACAAGCGUUGUCCGGAAUUAUUGGGCGUAAAGCGCGCGCAGGUGGUUCCUUAAGUCUGAUGUGAAAGCCCACGGCUCAACCGUGGAGGGUCAUUGGAAACUGGGGAACUUGAGUGCAGAAGAGGAAAGUGGAAUUCCAAGUGUAGCGGUGAAAUGCGUAGAGAUUUGGAGGAACACCAGUGGCGAAGGCGACUUUCUGGUCUGUAACUGACACUGAGGCGCGAAAGCGUGGGGAGCAAACAGGAUUAGAUACCCUGGUAGUCCACGCCGUAAACGAUGAGUGCUAAGUGUUAGAGGGUUUCCGCCCUUUAGUGCUGCAGCUAACGCAUUAAGCACUCCGCCUGGGGAGUACGGCCGCAAGGCUG